AAAAAAGAAUUCCAAUGGCUUCACCAAUUUGCGUCGGCCUUCAAUUGCCGUCGCUAAAGCCUCCUCUUUCGCCACGGCAAAACUUGAGGGGUCGCGAUUGUGCAAAAUAUUUGCGACGGUAACAACUGCCGUCGCCAUUGGGCGUCGCAAACCCAAUGAUUUACUUCGGCAAGAGUUAGUCGUGGUAAAAUAUUAACAGUUUGCGACUGUAAAGACAUUCAUGCCGUCGCGUUUCUUCAAUUCUUCCCGUGGCUUUUAUGUUUUUAUUUUCCCGUGCUUUCUAUUCCUUUAAGAUUAGCAUCUGAACUAAACGAUUUUACUUCUCUUUCUCUCUACUUUGCCGUCCUUCUUUGAGUCCAUCUCGAUUCGAUACCGAUGAGUGCUAUAGAUUUCCUCUCUCCAUCACCUCCUUCAACUAUUUUCCCCUCUCGAUCUGUCAUAUUCUCUGCGGAGUGCAUGCAGCCCCAUCCCCUCGUUCUUACUUUCCUCUUUUCCCUUUAUAUACCUUCCGAUCCCCUCCCUCCACUCCUCCACUUUCACAGCAGAUUGGUCAAACUCCAACCAACUUUCUACCAUUUUCAGAUCGCUUCGUUUUCUUCAUCGGAAUCCAUGGCGAAACAACCAGCUCGCGUCCUCGUUACCAGAGCCACAGGUACUGUAACGCAUCCAUAGCUUUCCUGGAUCAGAGUUUCAAAAGCCAUGUGAUUUUCCGGCCUAAGACAACCUCGAGGCUUUGUUGAUUCGAGGUUGGCUUAGGGUGGAGUGGCGGAUCUGUUGUAGCGUUCUCUGAGGACGACGGCAAAGGUUUGGAUCUACCAGGGAUCGAAGGCGUUCGAUGGGACAGGGGAGUGGGCCUGAGCCUAGAGCUUGGGUGCUCGCGGUAAGGUUCUUGUUUCUCAUCUCUUAUAUUUUUAAAGUUUCAAUCUUAAGGCUUGCAGGUUGCAGAUCUUGAAUUUUUUUUUUAUGGAAUUUUGUUUGUGUGGGUAAAUGGGAUAUCAGGAUAAUCAACGUGCUGGAAAACUGAUUGGAGAAGAUGAGACGAGAAUUUUAGUAUAUUUGGUUAUUGUUCAUUUUUGUUUUCGUUUAUGUAUUGGAAUGGUUUUUGUUUCAUUGGAUUCUCCUUUGUACACAGAUUGGAUUUUGAUGGCUGACAUUGGAUUCAAAUGUCUAAUAUGAUUAAGGUUUCACUUUUGUUUCAGAAACCCAUCAAGAUUGUUGAGCCAAUUGCUUCAUAUUUGAAUACGUUUUAAUUAUUGCUUGAUUAGUCGACAUGUUUCAUAAUGAUGAGGAAUCAUUUUUUUACUUUAAGAUUAGGAAAUGUAUGCACAUGUUUCACUCAUGUGCCAAUCUGUUUGGUCAUUACAAUAAAUUUGAUUAAUCUCUCUCUGCUCUGCUGCAUUUGUUUCUUUUUCGGUUUUCUUUUUGUAUGUGUUCAUUUGCCAACAAACAUCAAAAGGUCUUGGGGUAAAAGGAGCCAAGCUAUAAAAAAUCAUAACCAAUCUUAUGCUUGUGGAAACUUGAUACUUUGUCAAAGACGGAAAAGCAUCCUUGAACAUUAAGCAAUCUCAAGGCUGAGGUUUUGUUGCCAAAGCUGGAUUGGAGGAUCCUUUCUAGUUUAAUUACUGGAGAAUUUUGGUUAUGAUGGAAAGCAUUGGAGGAUCAUUUCUUAUAAUAAGCUUUUGUUUUCUAUUUAACAUAUCUAUAAUUGACCCUUUGAAUUUCUCUGUUUCCCGUCUUUCAAUCUCUAUUUUUUUUUUUUGUGUGUUUGUUUUGGUACCUAACCUUUUUGUAUAUGAAUUGCUAAAUUUGAUUAAGGCAGAUGGGCGAUGCAAGAUUAGCGCAAUGGUUGAAUCAAAUGCUGAAGGAAAUUCCUUUUUCUGGAAUUCUGAGCAACAGGCAAUCUAUGUGUACCCUAAAUCCAGGUUUGGAGUGUUGAUCAACAUUCUAAACCCUAAAUCCAGGUUUGGUUUGUUGAUCAACAUUUCAUCUAUAAAUAAGAAGUUAAUUUCCAUAACCUUUGUGAUGGCCAUUUUCUAUCUAUGUAUUUCAUAGAUGAAUACCUGAAGAAUGUCUUUCUAUAAUUACUUUUGACUUUAUUGUUUUUCAUGAAGUGUAAUGUUAAUAAUGAUAUGAUUUCAUUAUGUGUACCAAUGCUUUCAUUAACUAGACAGUUUUGUUUCUUGUGAAUGUUUGUUGUACUGAUCGAACACUUGUUCAAGGACAAUCAGUUCUCCAUCAAAAGCCGUCUGAAUUUCUCCAUAUCAGAGACUGUCUGCUGAUGUUCCUGUACAACUUCAUGAGAGGUUUCAAGGUGAGAGUAUCACUAGGUCCUCAGUUAUAGAGGAACCUGGAGACCAUGGAGAAGCACACUUAGUAGCUCUGGGUGAAUUAGAAUUCCGUAAACAAUUUCUAAUAUUAAGUGAUGCUGGAGGCUCAUGAUGAGAGUCAUGCACAAGAUGCGUCGUGGGGGUUGUCUAACAUAAGGGCUGUUGACGAAACUUAAAAUCAGGUUGACGGUCCAUCCGAAAACCCAGUCAAUAAGGACGAGAUCAGUGAGGUGCCAGAUUUAUAUCUUGGUGCAAGCAUUCAUCUCUCAAGAGAUCCUAAUAAUGUUAAGGAUCCCAAUGCCAUCCAGUGUAGGACCUAUUGCUAUAGAGAGAAGAAGAGUGGUGGAGAAGGAGAUAGACACAAAGAAGAACAUAGCUAUCAAUGAAUGAAUGAAGCAAAGAAGAAUACCAAUGCGGUUGAACUUAUGCGCUUGAAUUCUGAUUAUGUAGGUCAUGAUACUUAGCCUACUGAGCGUCAGCAUUAUGUAUUUUAAUUUUUGAAUGUUUUUGUAUUUUCAAGAUUGGUGAAGUUGUAUGAAAUGUAUAGAAAUAAUGUGAAAAAAACAUAUGAAAUUAUGAUUUAUAUGGCU
Rosa rugosa (rugosa rose) is the source of this 2917-nucleotide long non-coding RNA. RefSeq lists it as uncharacterized. The transcript has 4 exons. Lineage: Eukaryota; Viridiplantae; Streptophyta; Magnoliopsida; Rosales; Rosaceae. The record is from RefSeq and is a predicted model, not a curated record.